UCUGGCUUAUAGCCAAGCGGUCUUACUAGAGUGCCCAACUUAAUGCUGGCAACUAGUAACGAGGGUUGCGCUCGUUGCGGGACUUAACCCAACAUCUCACAACACGAGCUGACGACAGCCAUGCAGCACCUGUCACCGCGUCCCCGAAGGGAACCUCUGGUUUCCCAGAGUAGCGCGGGAUGUCAAGCCUAGGUAAGGUUUUUCGCGUAGCAUCGAAUUGAACCACAUGCUCCACCGCUUGUGCGGGCCCCCGUCAAUUCCUUUGAGUUUUAAUCUUGCGACCGUACUUCCCAGGCGGGAUACUUAAUGCGUUAGCUCCGUUACCAACACUAUUAGGAAUGCUGACAACUAGUAUCCAUAGUUUAGGGCGUGGACUAC
This 378-nucleotide unclassified non-coding RNA is filed under the name uncultured delta proteobacterium. RNAcentral's name for it is "contains 16S-23S intergenic spacer region". The record is from RNAcentral. Lineage: Bacteria; Deltaproteobacteria.